GGGCCGGUAGCUCAGCGGCAGAGCGCUUGUAUGGCAUACAAGAGGUCGUGGGUUCAAAUCCCAUCCGGUCCACCA
The sequence is a transfer RNA, 75 nucleotides long. It matches the Rfam family "tRNA". Rfam says of the family: Transfer RNA (tRNA) molecules are approximately 80 nucleotides in length. Their secondary structure includes four short double-helical elements and three loops (D, anti-codon, and T loops).